UACGAGGGGGGCAAGGGUUGUUCGGAAUUACUGGGCGUAAAGCGUGCGUAGGUGGUUCGUUAAGUCUGAUGUGAAAGCCCUGGGCUCAACCUGGGAAUGGCAUUGGAUACUGGCGAUCUAGAGUGCGGUAGAGGGCAGUGGAAUUCCCGGUGUAGCAGUGAAAUGCGUAGAGAUCGGGAGGAACAUCUGUGGCGAAGGCGACUGCCUGGACCAGCACUGACACUGAGGCACGAAAGCGUGGGGAGCAAACAGG
Molecule: ribosomal RNA, 253 nt
Filed under: uncultured bacterium
Lineage: Bacteria
Description: partial 16S ribosomal RNA
Rfam family: Bacterial small subunit ribosomal RNA
Source: RNAcentral